RNAcentral lists this ribosomal RNA (848 nucleotides) under uncultured Alphaproteobacteria bacterium. RNAcentral describes it as "bacterial SSU rRNA". It matches the Rfam family "Bacterial small subunit ribosomal RNA", at positions 58 to 942 of the family's 1533-position model. Lineage: Bacteria; Pseudomonadati; Pseudomonadota; Alphaproteobacteria. The record is from RNAcentral.
CAAGUCGAACGCUCCUGGGGCUUCGGUUCCAGGGGAGUGGCGCACGGGUGAGUAGCGCGUGGGAACCUGCCCUGUUGUGGGGGAUAACCGAGGGAAACUUCGGCUAAUACCGCAUGCGCCCGGGAAACCGGGGAAAGAUUUAUCGCAGCAGGAGGGGCCCGCGUCGGAUUAGCUAGUUGGUGGGGUAACGGCCUACCAAGGCGAUGAUCCGUAGCUGGUCUGAGAGGAUGAUCAGCCACACUGGGACUGAGACACGGCCCAGACUCCUACGGGAGGCAGCAGUGGGGAAUAUUGGACAAUGGGCGCAAGCCUGAUCCAGCAAUGCCGCGUGAGUGAUGAAGGCCUUCGGGUUGUAAAGCUCUUUCGCCCGCGACGAUGAUGACGGUAGCGGGAGAAGAAGCCCCGGCUAACUUCGUGCCAGCAGCCGCGGUAAUACGAAGGGGGCGAGCGUUGUUCGGAAUUACUGGGCGUAAAGGGCGCGUAGGCGGCCCUCCUAGUCGCGUGUGAAAGCCCCGGGCUCAACCUGGGAACGGCGCGCGAAACGGGGGGGCUGGAGUUCGGGAGAGGAGCGUGGAAUUCCCAGUGUAGAGGUGAAAUUCGUAGAUAUUGGGAAGAACACCGGUGGCGAAGGCGGCGCUCUGGACCGAGACUGACGCUGAGGCGCGAAAGCGUGGGGAGCAAACAGGAUUAGAUACCCUGGUAGUCCACGCCGUAAACGAUGUGUGCUAGACGUUGGGGAGCCUAGCUCUUCGGUGUCGCCCAAACGCUUUAGCACACCGCCUGGGGAGUACGGCCGCAAGGUUAAACUCAAGGAAUUGACGGGGGCCCCCACAAGCGGUGGAACAUGU